Molecule: non-coding RNA, 3849 nt
Organism: Drosophila virilis
Lineage: Eukaryota; Metazoa; Arthropoda; Insecta; Diptera; Drosophilidae
Source: RefSeq, a predicted model, not a curated record
AGUUUUGCAUUGAAGAGUCAAUUUUACAAAAUUGAAAUUUAAAUUAUUGAAGCGUUAAAUGGUACAGCAGCUGGAGAGUGGUGAGGUAACGACACAAAAUGCAAUGGUUGGCAGUCAUUGCUAUUUUUUGGUGACAGGCGAAGUAUUUAUAAAUUUGUACAGGGAAGUGCACUUAUGGAAUUUGUAUUUUCAAUGUGGUACAAUGGUUGCCGACUGUGUAUGCUUGGACACAAGUUAAAUAAUCCGAUUCUGUUAAAUGCGAAUGAUUGUGGCAAGAACUACAUUGAGCUAUGCAUAAGAUAUACGUGCUAGCCAAAAUAAACGUGUUUAUAUAUAUUAAUUUAAAAAAUUAAAUCUUAAUAUUAUGCUCAAAAAAAGUGUACGCGGUUUGAAAAAUACAGCCCGUAACUGUGGAAAAUUGAUUAAAAAUGGUUGCGUGUGCGCAUUGAUGUGUCUAUAUCAAUGUCAGCCUUCCUUCUGCUAAUAGAUAGCAAUUAAUCAAUCGAGCAUACACUUUCACACAUACGCAAUUGGGAGAACCAUGCAAUCGCCAACAAGAGACGACACAAAGCGAUAUGGCAAAGAGACAGGGAAAUGUAUAGCCAUGGCGACAGGCACCAAUGCCAGCACAUUUCACACAAAUAUAAAUAUUUGCUUAUGCCACAUUGGGGCGACACAGAAACACAAACAGAGUGGUAACUUGGGUGGCAGGCAGAUGCCCUUAUGAGUCUUGCAAGCGGCAAGCGCAUAUUGUCAGAAUAAGGGAGAGAGCGAUCGGGGAGCUGGUGAGAAAUAUUUUGCCCGCAUUGCAAACGCUUUUCCCAUAGACACCAAUCGUAAAUAAAUAUUUUGAUUUAUUGUCUACGUCAAUAUUUCCGCAAAAUUUAUGCUCGGCAUCGCGCAUUGGGAAGUCGUAUAAUUAAUAUGCUUACCCGGCGUAUGCGUUAUCUUUAUUUCGAAUCAACUCUAUGCUAAAAUUCGUAAUGCCUUUAAAGUUCCGCCAUACAGAUUGGACUUUAAACUAUGAUCUCUCAGCUUAACGGGCCUUAUUAAAGUGUACAAUGGUAAUGACAUUUAAUGUGGCGAAUGUAAAACAGUUGUACUUUGUUGACAUUUGUAAACGCCUGACACGAUGGUAUUUAAAAAUUAAAAACACCAAUAACUGAUUGGACUCAGUCUAUUUUUAACACUAUAGAAAAUGGUCUGAUUUAUUUUUUGUAGUCACGCUUAAAGCAUGAAGUGGACAUUUUGUUUACUGACUCGACUAUCAAAUGUAAUCAUUAUAUAUUUAUGCCUUCAAGAUUUAUUUCCCAAUAUUCGAAGAAGGCUUUCAAUUACUUAGCAAUCCAUCUGUUUUUAACAAGCAACAACAGACUUUUCUGUUCAUUUUUUACUUUUUUUUUUAAACUUCGAAUUUCAGAGUAGCAUUAAUAAUUGAUCGGACACACUAGCUCUUGAUAAUACUUAGUGCUGACUAUUUUAGUAUACUAAAGGCUUAAGAAAUGAAGUUUAUAGUUUUGAUCGUAUUCUUAGCACUUCUUGCUACUAAGAUACCGCCAUGCUGUAAAACGAGAUGCUUACUCGCUGCUUGCAAGACGGUCAAAAAAUACACCUAAUUUUGAUUUAUUUGGACUUACUUUCACCAAAUAUUAUGUUAAGCUGAGUAGAAUGCAAGCAAACAGUUUGUUGACUUCCUUCGAGCACGUGCAAUUUAAAUAUAUAAAUAUUUAUCAACCACUCUAUAAUUUCACGUUGUUUUAAAAGGGGUUAGCUUUAGUGGGCGAAAGAAAAUUUGUUUUCUCAGUUUUUCGCAUUAUUUAAAAGCAAAAUACGAAAAGUCUUGCCGUCAAUCAAGGGUAUCGGUCGUUCAUAUCUAUAGAUCAUAAAACUUUUUUUGGAAUUAAAUAUUAUUCAGCUGGAAAAGACAGAUUACGGGCAGAAAGACGGAGAGGAGUACUCUGUCAUGUGUCAUGUGGCUGUCAGAACAAAAUCCGAUAAUAAUAACUAGGUAACAUUUCAACCUUUUCAAAUGUGUUAUGUAAAUUUGUGUGUUUGUAUAAUGUGCAUCUCCAACGUCUUACUUUAUCAUUUAAAACACCCGCAAUUGAUUGGAAGCACGCGCUCCUAAUAGCUUGAAAUAUUGCUGACUGUAUGAUGUCCUAAACAUAUUUUGGAUAAAGCUGGUCUUUUUAUUGCUAAUAUAAAGAGUGUAAAUCCAAUUAAAUUGUAUUCUCGACUCCAAUUUGAUGUGAAAAACUGGCCUGCUGCAAGCCCGGAUGCUUACUGCUCAGAUCCUAGUGCUGUUAAUGUGAUGAAAUUAGACAGUUCACAGUAUUAUUUGACUAUAUACUUACCCGCGGGCGGUCGUCCCUCAUCGGCAGUGCUUAACGCAAUGGCAAAUUGGGCAGCAUAAUAGGUUAUCAUAAUUUGUAGCCGUGGUGCGGGCAGUUUUACGUGCAAUAUGUGGAUCACUGCAGCGAGCGCAUCGGAUAUGAUAAACAGAGCAGCGCCUACGGCAGCAAAGAAAGCCAGGAAACUCUUGACAUGCAGAGCACGUGCCAACGAACGCCAGAACAUGCCGGUUAUCAGCGUACAAUAGAUGAACACACCGAUUAAAUGUGCAAUAUUCAAAUGCCCGAUCACGAAGUAGAUCAAACCGAUGCUCGAUAUAUGAAGACAGGCUCCAAUAAUAAUCUUUAGCGGACGCCAGCCGAAAGCGAACAUAUAGCAAAUUUGUGUCGCACCAAAGCAGGUCAUGCCCAAGGCGAAUAACAACAAAUUAAACAUGACAUCACCAGCGCAGGAGAACAUUAACCCUAUUAAAAUCAAUUGGGAUUGUCCAUAGUGCUUUUUGAUCGAUAACCCCUUGAUCGAAACAUAAAACAUCAAUGCCAUUAUGGGCAAGCAUCGCAGCGCACUUGUCCAUAGUGUCCACACCUGAUCUUGACGCACCAGCGAAAAAUAAAGCACCACACUUAUAUAAAACGGGAUUAGCUUUAAGAAUUCAAUAGCUAAAAAACGCAGGUUGUAGUACAUGAUUAUUAUUUUCGCAGGAGCUCAAUAAAGCUGCCGUUUACAGAAAAAUGAAGGUAUAAAUUUAAUAGAAAAAAGUCAUUAGCUCAUUGAUAAUUUUAUAGUGAACGAGAAAGGAUUACCUUUCACCUUUCUAAUUGGGCAUUACGUAGUCAUUGUGUGGCUGCCAGCUAAAUCGUAUCCAGAUUUUUGAAAAUUCGAAAUUUUUUUAUUACAAUGGAGACUUUUUGUUUAUUUUUUGCUAGUUCAAAAUAAUAUGAAAAUUCAAAUUUGAAAAAGCACAGGCUCAGCAUCAGAAAGAUACAUAAGGCAUUAAUCCAGGCAUGGUUAGUCAAAACCACGGCUAAACGCUUGAAAACCCAUAACCCCAACAUCGCGACAUGCUAAACGGCGUUAAACUGAAAUUGUAGACAGGCUGAUGGGAGAUUAUAUCAUUGGGCUGUCACAAAAUCUCAAAAAUAAUAAAAGCUAGCCUACACUGUGAAAAAACGUUGUACGUUUGAAGCGUGUUAGGUAGCAUGACUAAGCUGACAUACAUGUAAAUCAAUUUUUCGCAAUGAAAAGCAGCAAUAAUUGAUUGGCCAAACAAGCUCCAUGUAGCUAUAAAUAGUGCUGCUUCUUAUAGUUAAAGUCAAACAAUGAAGUGGAUACUUUGGAUCACAUUUGCAGCACUGGCUACGGAAAGAAGUGUGCCAGCAUGUUGUAAAAAUGGUUGCCUCUUGCUUGAAUGUGUAGAUGUUACAAAAUAACACUUUAAAUAUUUUUAUUUGGAUUUACUUGCCCUAAAUAUCUGUGAAUAAAUGCAAUAGAAAGAGA